Panicum virgatum (switchgrass) is the source of this 1147-nucleotide long non-coding RNA. RefSeq lists it as uncharacterized. The transcript is spliced from 2 exons. The record is from RefSeq and is a predicted model, not a curated record. NCBI's taxonomy places the organism in Eukaryota, Viridiplantae, Streptophyta, Magnoliopsida, Poales, Poaceae.
GUCAUUUUAUCUACCUCCUUAAUUGACAGUAAGAGGGGGUAUUAACCGUAUUAUCCGUAUGUUCUGAAAGUCAAUAAAUUGUACAAUGGUAUCAUGGUUUGUGGAAAUUCUUACAGUAGAUAGACAUGUACGAAUAAGCAACAUAAACUUGGUUAGGCUUUGGCUCAUAAUGUAUCUAUCGACUUAUCUGUCUGUACUUCAAAAGCAUCUUUAUUGCAUUAGAUAGUUAAGAGUGUUGGUAAGGAUGGGCAGAGCCACUAACAGGGAUAUAGUGCUCGUUCAAUCAAUAGUUCUGCAUCCUUUUGUGUUGUAUUACAUUUUUCUUGCAACUUACAUAAGAUUACCAAGGUCUGUGAUGCUCAAUAGUAUAUAGUUUUAGGCUUUAGCUGCAGAUUGGUCCAGAACUUGAAUCACAUCAAUCAACAUGAUGCCAUGAUGGUGCCAAGGAUGUCCUGAGAGUGCCUUAUCAUCUAAAUUUUCCAAGCACAUAUCACUGAAUUGACAUUUUCUUUGUUACAGAGCCUAGUCAUUUCGUCCCCCCUUGUCAUCAGAAUGAGCCAUAUACCUGCAGAAGGCUACAUUGUUUGCCGACCAUGUUUCUGACCAGAAGUGAGCCUGUCCGCACCUUCCCCUCUGAAAAUUUGUGUCGAGCCAUUGAGUUAGGAGUUUCUUUCAGUGGCAAAUCCUUGAGCACUGUAUUUCUUCUGGCUCAUGAAGCUGCCUGCCUCACCUUCUGAACAGAGGCCAGGCCCGUGGUUGCCUCACCGAUUACAGGAUGCCAACUAGUAACUACAGUUCCGAGCAAGGUAAUCGACAAUGCGGCUGAUAUGUGACCCUGUCCGUUCAUGGUCCCUCGCACCUUCUUGCUGGCAUUGCCAUCGUGUAAAUAUAUUUAUGCAGAAGCUUAGUGAAACAUAGGCACAAAGUAGAAGUGCCGACAUACCACUAUUUUUAGAAUUUAGACACAUCACCCGGUCUCAGCCCUAUCUGACAAGACAUGAACGCUGAAACCAUUGAAUCUGUCCAGAAGUGGCUCCAGUCUCUUCUCUGUUCCCAUAUCCUUGCUGGGGAGGAUUUGCUCAUACACUGAUACCAGGAGUUCCGCUCCUCAUCCACACAAUGGUAAUGAUCAGUAGUAAUUGUGUCC